Molecule: ribosomal RNA, 468 nt
Filed under: uncultured bacterium
Lineage: Bacteria
Description: partial 16S ribosomal RNA
Rfam family: Bacterial small subunit ribosomal RNA
Source: RNAcentral
GACGAACGCUGGCGGCGUGCUUAACACAUGCAAGUCGAACGGAAAGUCCCUGCUUUUGUGGGGUGCUCGAGUUGCGAACGGGUGAGUAACACGUGAGUAACCUGCACUUGACUUUGGGAUAACUUCAGGAAACUUGGGCUAAUACCGGAUAGGAGCUCCUGCUGCAUGGUGGGGGUUGGACAGUUUCGGCGGUUGGGGAUGGACUCGCGGAUUAUCAGCUUGUUGGUGGGGUAGUGUCUUACCAAGGCUUUGACGGGUAGCAGGCCUGCGAGGGUGACCGGCCACAUUGGGACUGAGAUACGGCCCAGACUCCUACGGGAGGCAGCAGUGGGGAAUAUUGCACAAUGGGCGGAAGGCUGAUGCAGCAACGCCGCGUGCGGGAUGACGGCCUUCGGGUUGUAAACCGCUUUCGCCUGUGACGAAGCGUGAGUGACGGUAAUGGGUAAAGAAGCACCGGCUAACUACGUG